CUCCUACGGGAGGCAGCAGUGGGGAAUUUUGGACAAUGGGCGCAAGCCUGAUCCAGCCAUGCCGCGUGAGUGAAGAAGGCCUUCGGGUUGUAAAGCUCUUUCAGUUGGGAAGAAACGAUUGCAACUAAUAAUUGUAAUUAAUGACGGUACCGACAGAAGAAGCACCGGCUAACUACGUGCCAGCGCCGCGUAAU
RNAcentral lists this ribosomal RNA (194 nucleotides) under uncultured bacterium. RNAcentral's name for it is "partial 16S ribosomal RNA". It matches the Rfam family "Bacterial small subunit ribosomal RNA", at positions 336 to 524 of the family's 1533-position model. The record is from RNAcentral.